Molecule: non-coding RNA, 72 nt
Organism: Diatrype stigma
Lineage: Eukaryota; Fungi; Ascomycota; Sordariomycetes; Xylariales; Diatrypaceae
Source: the annotation of a GenBank genome assembly
AUCUCGUUCUCUUAUUGGAAAGAAGUGCUGCUUGUCACAGCAAAGUGGCGGGUUCGAUUCCCGCACGAGAUA